GGAGCAGCCCAAGAAAUGACCCAAAAAAAGACAAAAAAAUAACUAACUAAAUAAAUAAAGUGAUGGGCUGAUGAAUAAUUCUGUGCCUUUCCACAGGUCCUUUCCUUUGUCUGAGAUGCUCCUCCUUCUUUUUUCAGUCUCUCAUCUCCUCCUUCAAAAUCCAGCUCAAGGGGUCACCUCCUUCCAGAAGCAUUUCCUCACCUGCUUCCAGUCUGAUGGAGAAGUUCCUUCCACACCACAAAUACCUACUCACCCCAUGGACCGUGAGUGCUCGCGUAACUGUUGGCUUCCCCUACAAAGCGAUAAAGCUUCGCCUGGAGGGAAGGGACUACGUUUUCUUUCACUUUGUAUCGCUAGCAGGUGGCGCAAGGAAGAAAAUCGGGAUGCACGGACAGACAUCCUCAGACAGUCUGACGGGGAUCCCCACAUCGAGCAGCUUUCAGAACUGGACCAACCCAUCUCGUGAACCCGUGUUUAGAUAGAAGCUGGACAACAACCUACCAGGCGUGGUAAAGACCUCAGACCUCAUGAGAAGAGGUGCAGACAGUCUGCCACUUCGGACAGCGCCCCGUCCAAGUUCUCUGACAAGAUGAGCCAACAUCUCAGAAGCUACUGUGCCAGGUGGUAAGAAGACGGGGGGCUCGGAAAACCUGGGUUCCAUUGUGUGACUUUAGGGAGACAUGUCGUUUCCUCUCAGUUUUCCCAUUUAAAAAAUCAAAGGUGAAGCAUGCCUGCUGUGGCUCAGCAGUAAUGAGCCCGACUAGUAUCCGUGAAGACGUGGGUUCGAUCCCUGGCCUCACUCGAUUUGUUUCCACUGCACCAGGAUGGGAACUCCCCCCUCCCUGGGAUUUUACCUGAGCCUAAAUGACCUGGGGGAAGGGAAGUAAAGUAGCUUCCUCUAACUUGGCUAAAUACUCGAGCCAUCUUGCUCCACCUAAGGGGGAGGGGUGAGACUGAGAAACACUGGUGAAGACCACAGCCCAGGACACACGCUCGCCAAAAGACGGAGACCUAAUCCCAGGUCCCUCGCACCUUAUUCAAGGUCUGGCUACAGCAGUUCCUUUUCCCCAUGACACCAUGUCUACCUUUCAACAACAAAUGACAAGGUGCAAUAAAAGGCAAACAGCACAGUUUGAACAGACUGAGAAAGCAUCAGAACCAGAAUCACAUGUGGUCACAAUGCUGGAAUUAUCAGACCAGGCAUUUAAAAAUAUGGAUUAGCAUACUGAGGGCUUUAAUGGACCAACUAGACAACAUGCCAAAGUAGAUGGAUAAUAUUAGCAGAGAGAUGGAAGUUCUAAGAAAGAAUCCACAAGAAAUGCUCGAGGUGAAAAACAAAGUAACAGGAAUGAAGAAUGCCUCUGAUGGACACAGCUAAGAAAAAACAAACAAAACAGCAACAACAAAACCCCUCUGAACUUGAGGGUGUGGCAGUAGAAACUUCCAAAAUGGAAAAGCAAAGAAAAAAAAAAAAAAGACUAGAAAAAAAUAGAACAGAAUAUCUAAGAAUUUGGGGGCAACUAUAAAAGGUGUAACACAUGUGUAAUGGGAAGUCCAGAAGGAGAAGAGAGAAAGAAAUCAAAGCACUAUUUGAAGCAAUAAUAAUUGAAAACUUCCCCCCAAUUAAUGUCAGACACCAAACCAUAGCUCCAGAAGCUCAAAAUGCACCAAGCAGGAUAAAUGCCAAAAAAGCUACACCUAAAACAUAUCAUAUCUAAACUUCAAAAAAAAUCAAAGAUUAAAAAAAAAAUCCUGAUUGGAUUGUGAUGAUCAUUGUACAACUACAAAUGUAAUAAAUUCAUUGAGUGAUAAAAAAAGAAAAUCCUGGAGUUCCCAU
RNAcentral lists this long non-coding RNA (1837 nucleotides) under Sus scrofa (pig). RNAcentral's name for it is "lncRNA (ENSSSCG00060017847.1)". Lineage: Eukaryota; Metazoa; Chordata; Mammalia; Artiodactyla; Suidae. The record is from RNAcentral.